RNAcentral lists this ribosomal RNA (1532 nucleotides) under uncultured bacterium. RNAcentral describes it as "bacterial SSU rRNA". It matches the Rfam family "Bacterial small subunit ribosomal RNA". The record is from RNAcentral.
AGAGUUUGAUCCUGGCUCAGGAUGAACGCUGGCGGUGUGCCUUAGGCAUGCAAGUCGAGCGAACUAUCUUUUAGAUAGUUAGCGGCAGACGGGUGAGUAACAGGUAGGAAUCUACCCUUUGGUGGGGAAUAGCCAAUCGAAAGAUUGGGUAAUUCCGCAUAAGCCCCACGGGGGAAAGCACGUAACUGUGCGCCGAAGGAGGAUCCUGCUCGCUAUCAGCUUGUUGGUAAGGUAACGGCUUACCAAGGCUAUGACGGCUAGGGGGCGUGAGAGCGCGGACCCCCACAAGGUCACUGAGACACGGGGCCUACACCUACGGGUGGCAGCAACCGGGAAUAUUGCGCAAUGGGCGAAAGCCUGACGCAGCGACACCGCGUGUGGGAGGACACCCUUCGGGGCGUAAACCACUGUGGCGAGGGAGGAAGUUCUGACAGUACCUCGCUAGAAAGCACCUGCUAACUACGUGCCAGAAGCCUCGGCAAUACGUAGGGUGCUAGCGUUAUCCGGAUUUACUGGGCGUAAAGGGUUUCGCAGGUGGAUAGGUAAGUCUCGUUUGAAAGACCACGGCUCAACUGUGGGAACGGACGAGAAACUACGUAUCUUGAGGGCAUCAGGGGAGAUUGGAAUUCUCGGUGGAGGGGUGAAAUCCGUUGAUAUCGAGAGGAACGUCAAUGGCGAAGGCAAAUCUCUGGGGUGCUCCUGACACUCAUGUACGAAGGCUAGGGUAGCAAACGGGAUUAGAGACCCCGGUAGUCCUAGCCGUAAACGAUGGAUACUAGUUGCGUGAUUCACUAAGGGUGAAAGUAACAAACAAGGAACAAAUCUCAACUUUUUUAAGAGACAAACUGGUUUUUUAGUUAUUUUUUCUUUUAGCGAGUCGCGUGACGUAAGCUAACGCGUUAAGUAUCCCGCCUGGGUAGUACGAUCGCAAGAUUAAAACUCAAAGGAAUUGACGGGGAUCUGCACAACCAGUGGAGCAUGUGGUUUAAUUCGAUACGAAGCGAAGGACCUUACCUAGACUUGACAUGUAUCUGCACGCCUAGUGAAAGCUAGGAAGCCUACGAGGGUGAUACACAGGUGUUGCAUGGCUGUCGUCAGCUCGUGUCGUGAGACGUCUGCUUAAGUGCAGUAACGAGCGCAACCCCUGCCGUAUGUUGAAUGUUCAUGCGGGACUGCCUUACAGUAAGUAGGGAGGAAGGAGGGGACGACGUCAAGUCAGCAUGACCUCUACGUCUAGGGCAACACACAUCCUACAAUGGGGGGGACAACGGGUUGCGAUCCGGCAACGGUUAGCUAAUCCUUUAAACCCUCUCUCAGUUCGGAUUGUGGGCUGAAAUUCGCCCACAUGAAGUCGGAAUUGGUAGUAAUCGCAGGUCAGCAGACUGCGGUGAAUACGUUCUCAGAUCUUGUACACACUGCCCGUCAAGCCAGCAAAGUCGGCAGCGCCCGAAGCGGAUGUCCGUAACUAGUUUACUAGAGCGGCUCUUCUAAGGUGAGGUCGGCGAUGAGGACUAAGUCGUAACAAGGUAACC